Molecule: long non-coding RNA, 380 nt
Filed under: Zostera marina
Lineage: Eukaryota; Viridiplantae; Streptophyta; Magnoliopsida; Alismatales; Zosteraceae
Description: long non-coding RNA (ZMAR_LNC000567)
Source: RNAcentral
AAUUCCGCCGCUCUCUCCUUUUAGGGUUCUUCAUUUUCUUGAGAUUUGAUCUCGAUGGUCUGACCAUUUUGCCCGAUAUUGUUGUAAAUAAAUCCUACGAUGAUAUAUAUUUUUGGUGAGUUUUAGAUCUCGGUGAAGAUUCUGAUGCGUGAUCAACUGUAUUGAAUGUGGUAAAAUACUUGUCAUUCUUAUAUUAACUUUCCUAAUAUCUAGGUUGACAUCAUCAUCCUUCUACACAUCUUCUCUAUUUUCUUAUGAUCCUUUCUUAAUAAUUUAACCAUUUUGGUCGAUGUUGUUGCAGACAAACCCUACCAUUUCAUUUUCGUUACGUUUUUUGAUUUCGACGAAUAUUUCACAGCGUAAUCAACUAUCAAACAAGG